This 287-nucleotide ribosomal RNA is filed under the name Pseudomonas sp. October_KB2A3. RNAcentral describes it as "partial 16S ribosomal RNA". It matches the Rfam family "Bacterial small subunit ribosomal RNA", at positions 1086 to 1372 of the family's 1533-position model. Lineage: Bacteria; Pseudomonadati; Pseudomonadota; Gammaproteobacteria; Pseudomonadales; Pseudomonadaceae. The record is from RNAcentral.
CCCGUAACGAGCGCAACCCUUGUCCUUAGUUACCAGCACGUUAAGGUGGGCACUCUAAGGAGACUGCCGGUGACAAACCGGAGGAAGGUGGGGAUGACGUCAAGUCAUCAUGGCCCUUACGGCCUGGGCUACACACGUGCUACAAUGGUCGGUACAGAGGGUUGCCAAGCCGCGAGGUGGAGCUAAUCUCACAAAACCGAUCGUAGUCCGGAUCGCAGUCUGCAACUCGACUGCGUGAAGUCGGAAUCGCUAGUAAUCGCGAAUCAUAAUGUCGCGGUGAAUACGUU